Molecule: ribosomal RNA, 254 nt
Filed under: uncultured bacterium
Lineage: Bacteria
Description: partial 16S ribosomal RNA
Rfam family: Bacterial small subunit ribosomal RNA
Source: RNAcentral
UACGUAGGGUGCAAGCGUUGUUCGGAUUUACUGGGCGUAAAGGGCGCGUAGGCGGCGCGGUAAGUCACUUGUGAAAUCUCUGAGCUUAACUCAGAACGGCCAAGUGAUACUGCAGUGCUAGAGUGCAGAAAGGGCAAUCGGAAUUCUUGGUGUAGCGGUGAAAUGCGUAGAUAUCAAGAGGAACACCUGAGGCGAAGGCGGGUUGCUAGGCUGACACUGACGCUGAGUGCGCGAAAGCCAGGGGAGCAAACGGG